AGAUAUCGUAGCGUAGCAAUAGCCUGUGAACAGGUGCUGCAUGGCUGUCGGUCAGCUCGUGCCGUGAGGUGUUGGGUUAAGUCCCGCAACCGAGCGCAACCCCUACUGCCAGUUACCAACACGUUAUGGUGGGGACUCUGGCGGAACUGCCGGUGACAAACCGGAGGAAGGUGGGGAUGACGUCAAGUCCUCAUGGCCCUUAUGUCCAGGGCUACACACGUGCUACAAUGGUCGGUACAGAGUGACGCGAAGCCGCGAGGUGAAGCAAAUCGCAGAAAGCCGGCCUUAGUUCGGAUUGGAGUCUGAAACUCGACUCCAUGAAGGUGGAAUCGCUAGUAAUCGCGCAUCAGCAUGGCGCGGUGAAUACGUUCCCGGGUCUU
RNAcentral lists this ribosomal RNA (380 nucleotides) under uncultured Spirochaetaceae bacterium. RNAcentral's name for it is "bacterial SSU rRNA". It matches the Rfam family "Bacterial small subunit ribosomal RNA", at positions 1002 to 1382 of the family's 1533-position model. The record is from RNAcentral. Lineage: Bacteria; Pseudomonadati; Spirochaetota; Spirochaetia; Spirochaetales; Spirochaetaceae.